Molecule: long non-coding RNA, 2021 nt
Organism: Oncorhynchus nerka (sockeye salmon)
Lineage: Eukaryota; Metazoa; Chordata; Actinopteri; Salmoniformes; Salmonidae
Exons: 6
Source: RefSeq, a predicted model, not a curated record
UUACUUCCUGCCAAAGACACAGGCCUUUUAAUCUGUUACCGGUCAAUCGAUGAACGAUACUCGAAGAGUCCUGGAUUGUCAACCCAGUCUCUCAUUAAUAUUGUACAAUAUGUACAAAUUGUAAUGCCUUGAUACAGUUUUCCCAUUUUCUUCGCAGCCUGAAACAGCUGUGACACGAGAACAGCCAAGGCGAAGGUCGAUAGCCAUGUGUCACAAACACAACCCAGCCAAGCCGCACUGCACGCUUAAAACGGGAAUGUACACGACCAUGUCAACGUGCAUGUGCCCGGGCCGCCACAGGAGUCGCUAGCGCACGAUGGGACAAGGACAUCCCGGCCGGCCAAACCCUCCCCCAACCCAGGCGAUUGGGGCCAAUUGUGCGGCGCCUCAUGGGUCUCCCGGUCGCGACACAGCCCGGUAUCGAACCAGGAUCUUUAGUAACGCAGCUAGCACAGCCUUAGACCGCUGCGCCACUCGAGAGGCCCGAAUCCACUCAUUUGAAGGGGUGUCCACAUACUUUGCCACCUUAUGGGCACGUUUUACCAGACCAUCCACAUGCUUGGGCAUGGGAUCAAACCUGUCUACGCUUUUGAUGGCAAGCCCCCACAGCUGAAGUCACAAGAGGGGAGCAGGAGAACAUUGACAAGUUCACUAAGCGGCUGGUGAAAGUUACCCGGCAGCACAACGACGAGUGCAAGAAGAUGCUCACCCUAAUGGGGGUGCCAUACAUCAAGGCUCCAUGUGAGGCAGAGGCGAGCUGCACUGCUCUGGUUAAGGCGGUAGUCGCCACGGCAACAGAAGAUACGGACAGCCUGACAUUUGGAGCAGGGGUCCUACUGAGGCACCUCACCCCCAGCGACGCAGAGUACUACUGCAGUUUAUAUACCACCUUACCCAUCUUUCAUCCCAGUCAUACAGUUUAUCUAACAGUAUUAUAACAAUAGAAGCUGUGUGUGUGUUGUAUAUUUUGUUUUUGAGGUUACUUGUAACAUUUCUGUUUCUCUAUCUUAGGAAGCUUCCUAUCCAUCUGUGAGUUCACCUGUGUUGUGACUGUCAAACUUUGUAAGAGUUUGUAAUCCCAAUUCUCCAUUGUUUAAUUUGCUCCUCUUAAACACACACAUGCACGACAGUCCCACAUAAUAAGCAGUCCCUAGUUUGAGAUCCAAACCGUCACGCAGCAGUUAUCCUAUUCCCAGAAGUCAGUGUGAGUGUUUGUCUCCUUGGCCCCUUGCAGAAGCACCCUGCCCCAGAGUACUGCCUGUAUAAGGAGUCCAGAGGUCUGUUCCUGCAGCCUGACAUUGUGGACUGUUCCACAGUAACCUCAAGUGGAGCGAGCCCAACAAGGACACCCUUAUCCAGUUCAUGUGUGCAGAGAAACAGUUCAGUGAGGACUGCAUCAAGAACAGCUGUAAGAAGAUGAUGAAGAGCCGACAAGGCAGCACACCGGGAUGACUGGACUCUAUUCACCAUCAUUGGCUCUCUGAGAGAGAAACCUAUACAUAUUCAAUGCAUUUCAGUGCCUUUAAACAGGGUAUAGUAGUAGGUGCCAGGCACACCGGUUUGAGUGUGUCAAGAACUGCAACGCUGCUGGGUUUUUCACACUCAACAGUUUCCUGUGUGUAUCAAGGACAUUCAGCCAACUUGACACAACUGUGGGAAGCAUUGGAGUCAACAUUCAACUCAAUAUUAGGAAGAUGUUUAGUACACUCAGUGUAUACCAUACCUCAUCUAUGUUUGAUUUAUAAAAAACAUUGUCCACACCAUACUGUAUCCAUAUUAAAAUAAUUCUCGCUACUUCCUCCUUUUUAUUUAGGAAUAGACUUCAAAGAGGAAGUCAAGCAAGGAAAGAGGAAGUUGAGGAGUGUGCGUGAUAAUUAGACAACUACAAUUACAGUGUCUAGCCAAGUCUGUUCUUCAUGUUGAAAAUGUGAGAAUGGGGUAGUGGUUAACGUAUUCCAAUUAAACUAGCAAGUUUUAUUAACAUGCUUUUUUCUUGAAUAAAAGUAAUAGGGAAUUUUGUA